AUUGAACGCUGGCGGAAUGCUUUACACAUGCAAGUCGAACGGCAGCACGGACUUCGGUCUGGUGGCGAGUGGCGAACGGGUGAGUAAUAUAUCGGAACGUAUCCAAUAAUGGGGGAUAACUAAUCGAAAGGUUGGCUAAUACCGCAUACGCCCUACGGGGGAAAGCUAGGGAUCUUCGGACCUGGCGUUAACGGAGCGGCCAAUAUCUGAUUAGCUAGUUGGUGGGGUAAAGGCCCACCAAGGCGACGAUCAGUAGCUGGUCUGAGAGGACGACCAGCCACACUGGAACUGAGACACGGUCCAGACUCCUACGGGAGGCAGCAGUGGGGAAUUUUGGACAAUGGGCGCAAGCCUGAUCCAGCCAUUCCGCGUGAGUGAAGAAGGCCUUCGGGUUGUAAAGCUCUCUCGCAAGGGAAGAAAACUUAUCCUCUAACAUAGGAUGAGGUUGACGGUACCUUGAUAAGAAGCACCGGAAAAC
This 478-nucleotide ribosomal RNA is filed under the name uncultured bacterium. Its description in RNAcentral is "bacterial SSU rRNA". It matches the Rfam family "Bacterial small subunit ribosomal RNA", at positions 30 to 501 of the family's 1533-position model. The record is from RNAcentral.